UAUUUAUUAGAUAAAAAACCAAUGCCCUUCGGGGCUCCUUGGUGAUUCAUAAUAACUUAACGAAUCGCAUGGCCUUGCGCCGGCGAUGGUUCACUCAAAUUUCUGCCCUAUCAACUUUCGAUGGUAAGAUAGUGGCUUACCAUGGUCUCAACGGGUAACGGGGAAUUAGGGUUCUAUUCCGGAGAGGGAGCCUGAGAAACGGCUACCACAUCCAAGGAAGGCAGCAGGCGCGCAAAUUACCCAAUCCCAAUUCGGGGAGGUAGUGACAAUAAAUACUGAUACGGGGCUCUUUCGGGUCUCGUAAUUGGAAUGAGUACAAUCUAAAUCCCUUAACGAGGAACAAUUGGAGGGCAAGUCUGGUGCCAGCAGCCGCGGUAAUUCCAGCUCCAAUAGCGUAUAUUAAAGUUGUUGCCGUUAAAAAGCUCGUAGUUGAACCUUGGACCUGGCUGAUCUGUCCUCCUAAUCGAGCGCACGGAUUCGGUCGGGUCUUUCCUUCUGGGGAGCCCUAUGCCCUUCACUGGGUGUAGUGGGGAACCAGGACUUUUACCUUGAAAAAAUUAGAGUGUUCAAAGCAGG
This 576-nucleotide ribosomal RNA is filed under the name uncultured eukaryote. RNAcentral describes it as "SSU rRNA". It matches the Rfam family "Eukaryotic small subunit ribosomal RNA", at positions 203 to 784 of the family's 1831-position model. The record is from RNAcentral.